Molecule: non-coding RNA, 69 nt
Organism: Myotis davidii
Lineage: Eukaryota; Metazoa; Chordata; Mammalia; Chiroptera; Vespertilionidae
Source: Rfam
GGCAGUUCUAGGAUGACACACCCAGGAACUGGGCUCCCUCCUCUCUGGGUGCAUCACCCAAGAACCGCA